CCCCAAUCCUCCCGAAGAAACCAAUGUGAACCACAAUUCUGCACCUACGGGACCACGAGUUUCUGUGAUGGCUGAGGAAAGAACCGCUGAGAAGGACCCUGAUGUGGGAAGGUUCACAUUACUUGGUGUCAAAAGGGGUAUUUGAAGGAGUUGAAUCCCUAAAG
This 164-nucleotide long non-coding RNA is filed under the name Bos grunniens (domestic yak). RNAcentral describes it as "lncRNA (ENSBGRG00000001469.1)". Lineage: Eukaryota; Metazoa; Chordata; Mammalia; Artiodactyla; Bovidae. The record is from RNAcentral.